RNAcentral lists this long non-coding RNA (327 nucleotides) under Anser brachyrhynchus (Pink-footed goose). Its description in RNAcentral is "lncRNA (ENSABRG00000019558.1)". Lineage: Eukaryota; Metazoa; Chordata; Aves; Anseriformes; Anatidae. The record is from RNAcentral.
GCUGGGGGGUGACGUCACCGCCGCGCUCCGCCUUAUAUAAGCGGGGCCGUUACGGCCCUGUUUGUGUAGCGUUCACCGGGUUCGGUGCGUGGCGUUCGGGGUUCUCCGAGUUUGUGGUGCCCCGAGCCCCAGGCUGAGUUUUCUGGUAGUACUACAUCUCCAGUGACUGAUGGAUAUGAGUUCUUACACUGCAUUUCCCGCAUCCCAGCGGGCAGAGUUUGCCUUCCAUAUACAAUGUUCUUCACUUUUCCUCAUGGUGCCUUAAUUUUCAUUGAUAACUUUCUGUGGUAAAAGAGUAAUAAAAAAAAGCUAUCUUUUCUGAUAACA